CCUACGGGUGGCAGCAGUGAGGAAUAUUGGUCAAUGGGCGCGAGCCUGAACCAGCCAAGUCGCGUGAAGGAUGAAGGCCCUAUGGUUUGUAAACUUCUUUUAUAUGGGAAUAAAGUGAGGAACGUGUUCCUUUUUGUAUGUACCAUAUGAAUAAGCAUCGGCUAACUACGUGCCAGCAGCCGCGGUAAUACGGAGGAUGCGAGCGUUAUCCGGAUUUAUUGGGUUUAAAGGGUGCGUAGGUGGUUAAUUAAGUCAGCGGUGAAAGUUUGUGGCUCAACCAUAGAAUUGCAGUUGAAACUGGUUGGCUUGAGUAUAUUAGAGGUGGGCAGAAUGCGUGGUGUAGCGGUGAAAUGCAUAGAUAUCACGAAGAACUCCGAUUGCGAAGGCAGCUUACUGGACUAUAACUGACACUGAGGCGCGAAAGCGUGGGGAUCAAACAGGAUUAGAUACCCUGGUAGUC
This 460-nucleotide ribosomal RNA is filed under the name uncultured bacterium. Its description in RNAcentral is "partial 16S ribosomal RNA". It matches the Rfam family "Bacterial small subunit ribosomal RNA", at positions 338 to 795 of the family's 1533-position model. The record is from RNAcentral.